This 354-nucleotide ribosomal RNA is filed under the name Salmonella enterica subsp. enterica serovar Worthington str. BCH-5715. Its description in RNAcentral is "partial 23S ribosomal RNA". It matches the Rfam family "Bacterial large subunit ribosomal RNA", at positions 521 to 777 of the family's 2925-position model. Lineage: Bacteria; Pseudomonadati; Pseudomonadota; Gammaproteobacteria; Enterobacterales; Enterobacteriaceae. The record is from RNAcentral.
GAACCCCGGCGAGGGGAGUGAAAAAGAACCUGAAACCGUGUACGUACAAGCAGUGGGAGCCCCACCACUAAGCCAGUGGUGAACUCACAUACGCAUCCUUUGCUGAAGGUGCGGUUAACGGAGCGCAAGCGACGUUCAACCUCAAAAGAAGCAGAGGGGGCUUAGUGGUGGGGUGACUGCGUACCUUUUGUAUAAUGGGUCAGCGACUUAUAUUCUGUAGCAAGGUUAACCGUAUAGGGGAGCCGGAGGGAAACCGAGUCUUAAUUGGGCGUUAAGUUGCAGGGUAUAGACCCGAAACCCGGUGAUCUAGCCAUGGGCAGGUUGAAGGUUGGGUAACACUAACUGGAGGACCGA